GACGAACGCUGGCGGCGUGCCUAAUACAUGCAAGUCGAACGCAGUGGGGACGGGUGAGUAACACGUGGGUAACCUCCCAACAGAGGGGAUAACACUUGGAAACAGGUGCUAAACCGAUACUGAUGGAUGCACCCGCGGUGCAUUAGCUAGUUGGUGAGGUAACGGCUCACCAAGGCCACGAUGAAUAGCCGCCUGGGUGGGGGGAUCGGCCACACUGGGACUGAGACACGGCCCAGACUCCUACGGGAGGCAGCAGUAGGGAAUAUUGCACAAUGGGCGCAAGCCGGAUGCAGCCAUGCCGCGGGUAUGAAGAAGGCCUUAGGGUUGUAAAGUACUUUCAGCGGGGAGGCGUUACCCGCAGAAGAAGCACCGGCUAACUCCGUGCCAGCAGCCGCGGUAAUAC
This 403-nucleotide ribosomal RNA is filed under the name uncultured bacterium. RNAcentral's name for it is "partial 16S ribosomal RNA". It matches the Rfam family "Bacterial small subunit ribosomal RNA", at positions 28 to 526 of the family's 1533-position model. The record is from RNAcentral.